AUUUUAAACUUGAUUUAAUACACUUAUAACAACUUUAGUUAUAUCUUAUAACUCAUGUAAAUAUACUAUCUUGGCCCGAACAAUUAGCCAAUUCUCAUGAUUUAUAAAUGAUUUAGCAUAAUAGUCUCUUUGAACCACUUUAUCGAACAUGUAAUAUGCAUAGCAUGUAAAGUCAGAUUUCACAAACAUUAUAUAUGCAACUUCU
This 205-nucleotide long non-coding RNA is filed under the name Panax ginseng (ginseng). RNAcentral describes it as "long non-coding RNA (PGIN_LNC013789)". Lineage: Eukaryota; Viridiplantae; Streptophyta; Magnoliopsida; Apiales; Araliaceae. The record is from RNAcentral.